ACGCCGGAGCAGCCCGGAGCUUUACUCCGCUUCGGGGUGCGAGAGGAGCGGCGGGCGGGAGAGCUGGACAGAGGCGCCUCGGGAGACGUGCGACCCCACCGAACGGACUUCAAUGUCGCCCAGGUGACCCUCCUCCGGGAUCCCCACCUUCUUCUUCCUCAGGAGCCCUGCUGGCACGCUUAAUUCUGUCCGCGUUCCUGCUAUGGUAUCAGCUAACUCUGGCGGGUUUUCUGCCGCCCUUAAAGUGUGUUUGCUUAUUCCCUUUCACAAUAACCCUGGAAGCACUCUGACAUUGACCAAGAAGGAGCUCUGGCAGUGUCUCAGUCCUUGAGAUGUCCUUGGGGCAUGGAAGCAUAGAUCUGACAUGUUGGAAACCUUAGUGGGAUUUUUGAAGGAGCUAUUCUCAGAGUGGCGGUAUAUAUACACAUAUACGUAUAAACAUGUAUAUACAUACAUACAUACAUACUUACAUACAUAUAUAUACACACACACACACGCACACACACACAAUUUUAUUUCUACUACUCAUUAGCCACCCUCUUGCCACUGUCUACAUAUAUUAAAAAUCCCAGGUAGGCAACAAAAAAGACCAUUUUGGAGGCUUUCAGUGAGCCUAAUAUUACAUCCACAAGGAACAGCAUAGGAAGGUGUCCCCAACUGAUUUUAAAACAUCUGAUUUGAGCUGACUAAUCUGGUUAUACAGGCAGGAGGUGUGGUAUGCAAACGAGGGACUAUUUAUUUCCGCAGGUCACAGGUUUAUAUAGGAAGCAGUCACAAGCUUUGCAUGAAAGCUGGUCAACACUUCUCACGUUUCUCUGAUCAAUGGUUUCUUCUAAGGAAGUGUUCCCUGUCCUCUUGAAUGAAUAAUAGCUGCCGAAAGUUUACUGGUCGAGAAAAAAAAAAGCAUCUGGGCUUCGCCUUUCGAGGCGGGUGCACUGUCUGGAGUGGGUGUGGCCAGAGCAAGGUUUCCUGGACCAGGUCUCCUGGAUUCAAUUGUAGUAGAUUAGCUUGCUGCUGGAGUAUUUUCACAUUGACUGUAAAGUACGGAAAACAGCCAGACUUGAAGGCAUUCCAGCAGGUUGCUGGGGAAGGAGCUGCUUAGCUGACAGUCCCUCACUCUAGGCUGCCAGGAAUCAGGAAGGGAAUGAUGUCCUUGUCCUUCAAAGAGCUGAAUUUUUAUUUAUUGACGUCGGAACAAAAAAGUGUUUACAAUAAAGACUUAAAAAUUCAACACAAAACGUUUUAAGCAGCAUUUAACAACACUUUAGAGCAUUUAACAUUUGUUAAGGUUUAUUUUAUGUGUGGGUGUUUUGCAGGCAAGUGUGUACCUGUGCACCACAUGCAUGCAGUACCAAAGAAUUCCAGAGAGGGCGCCAGAUGUCCUUCAACUGUAAGACUGCCCUUAGCCACCAUACUUCAUACUACAAAAAAACCCAGAAGUUUCUUCAAAAGCAACAAGCACUCUUAACUGGUGAACUGUCUCUCCAGUCCCCCAUUUAUCUAUUUUUUAAGCAUUUAGCCACUGGCUCUAGGGAGCGUUGGAUCCUUCUGUCUUUCUCCACAGCUCAACAAGCUGAACAGGGGUAUAAACCCUGCAUGUUGACCCAGUGAAACAAAAUACCUAGCAGGUAAAAUGGAACUUCUUAGUAAGAAACAGUGGUCAGCUAAUGGCAAACUACAGUCGAUCAAGAGCCAAACCCUAUGAAAUUGC
RNAcentral lists this long non-coding RNA (1711 nucleotides) under Mus musculus (house mouse). RNAcentral describes it as "long non-coding RNA chr10:76345451-76347162". The record is from RNAcentral. Lineage: Eukaryota; Metazoa; Chordata; Mammalia; Rodentia; Muridae.